Molecule: small RNA, 102 nt
Filed under: Salmonella enterica
Lineage: Bacteria; Pseudomonadati; Pseudomonadota; Gammaproteobacteria; Enterobacterales; Enterobacteriaceae
Description: partial RtT sRNA
Rfam family: RtT RNA
About the family: This family represents a bacterial cis-regulatory element known as RtT RNA. The exact function of RtT is unknown although it is thought that it may be involved in changing the cellular response in relation to amino acid starvation.
Source: RNAcentral
CGGGGGCAAGAGGUUCGACUCGAGCGCAGCGAGAGAACGUUGCGUCAGCAACGGCCCGCAGGGCGAGCCACGCAGUGGCGAGUCAUCCUCUAUCACCGGCAG